RNAcentral lists this ribosomal RNA (466 nucleotides) under uncultured bacterium. RNAcentral describes it as "partial 16S ribosomal RNA". It matches the Rfam family "Bacterial small subunit ribosomal RNA", at positions 28 to 507 of the family's 1533-position model. The record is from RNAcentral.
GACGAACGCUGGCGGCGCGCCUAACACAUGCAAGUCGAACGAGCGAGAGAGAGCUUGCUUUCUUGAGCGAGUGGCGAACGGGUGAGUAACGCGUGAGGAACCUGCCUCAAAGAGGGGGACAACAGUUGGAAACGACUGCUAAUACCGCAUAAGCCCACGACCCGGCAUCGGGUUGAGGGAAAAGGAGCAAUCCGCUUUGAGAUGGCCUCGCGUCCGAUUAGCUAGUUGGUGAGGUAACGGCCCACCAAGGCGACGAUCGGUAGCCGGACUGAGAGGUUGAACGGCCACAUUGGGAAUGAGACACGGCCCAGACUCCUACGGGAGGCAGCAGUGGGGAAUAUUGCACAAUGGGGGAAAACCUGAUGCAGCGACGCCGCGUGGAGGAAGAAGGUCUUCGGAUUGUAAACUCCUGUUGUUGAGGAAGAUAAUGACGGUACUCAACAAGGAAGUGACGGCUAACUACGUG